This 266-nucleotide ribosomal RNA is filed under the name uncultured Anoxybacillus sp. RNAcentral describes it as "partial 16S ribosomal RNA". It matches the Rfam family "Bacterial small subunit ribosomal RNA", at positions 1117 to 1382 of the family's 1533-position model. Lineage: Bacteria; Bacillati; Bacillota; Bacilli; Caryophanales; Anoxybacillaceae. The record is from RNAcentral.
GCCAGCAUUCAGUUGGGCGACUCUAAGGUGACGUGCCGGCUAAAAGUACGGAGGAAGGUGGGGAUGACGUCAAAUCAUCAUGCCCCUUAUGACCUGGGCUACACGCGUGCUACAAUGGGCGGUACAAAGGGUCGCGAACCCGCGAGGGGAGCCAAUCCCAAAAAGCCGCUCUCAGUUCGGAUUGCAGGCUGCAACUCGCCUGCAUGAAGCCGGAAUCGCUAGUAAUCGCGGAUCAGCAUGCCGCGGUGAAUACGUUCCCGGGCCUU